ACAUGCAAGCCGAGCGGUAUGGUUUCUUCGGAAACCAGAGAGCGGCGUACGGGUGCGGAACACGUGUGCAACCUGCCUUUAUCUGGGGGAUAGCCUUUCGAAAGGAAGAUUAAUACCCCAUAAUAUAUUAAGUGGCAUCACUUGAUAUUGAAAACUCCGGUGGAUAGAGAUGGGCACGCGCAAGAUUAGAUAGUUGGUGAGGUAACGGCUCACCAAGUCAGUGAUCUUUAGGGGGCCUGAGAGGGUGAUCCCCCACACUGGUACUGAGACACGGACCAGACUCCUACGGGAGGCAGCAGUGAGGAAUAUUGGACAAUGGGUGAAAGCCUGAUCCAGCCAUCCCGCGUGAAGGACGACGGCCCUAUGGGUUGUAAACUUCUUUUGUAUAGGGAUAAACCUAGAUACGUGUAUCUAGCUGAAGGUACUAUACGAAUAAGCACCGGCUAACUCCGUGCCAGCAGCCGCGGUAAUACGGAGGGUGCAAGCGUUAUCCGGAUUUAUUGGGUUUAAAGGGUCCGUAGGCGGAUCUGUAAGUCAGUGGUGAAAUCUCAUAGCUCAACUAUGAAACUGCCAUUGAUACUGCAGGUCUUGAGUAAGGUAGAAGUGGCUGGAAUAAGUAGUGUAGCGGUGAAAUGCAUAGAUAUUACUUAGAACACCAAUUGCGAAGGCAGGUCAUAUGUCUUAACUGACGCUGAUGGACGAAAGCGUGGGGAGCGAACAGGAUUAGAUACCCUGGUAGUCCACGCUGUAAACGAUGCUAACUCGUUUUUGGGUUUUCGGAUUCAGAGACUAAGCGAAAGUGAUAAGUUAGCCACCUGGGGAGUACGAACGCAAGUUUGAAACUCAAAGGAAUUGACGGGGGCCCGCACAAGCGGUGGAUUAUGUGGUUUAAUUCGAUGAUACGCGAGGAACCUUACCAAGGCUUAAAUGGGAAUUGACAGGCUUAGAAAUAGGCUUUUCUUCGGACAAUUUUCAAGGUGCUGCAUGGUUGUCGUCAGCUCGUGCCGUGAGGUGUUAGGUUAAGUCCUGCAACGAGCGCAACCCCUGUCACUAGUUGCCAUCAUUCAGUUGGGGACUCUAGUGAGACUGCCUACGCAAGUAGAGAGGAAGGUGGGGAUGACGUCAAAUCAUCACGGCCCUUACGCCUUGGGCCACACACGUAAUACAAUGGCCGGUACAGAGGGCAGCUACACAGCGAUGUGAUGCAAAUCUCGAAAGCCGGUCUCAGUUCGGAUUGGAGUCUGCAACUCGACUCUAUGAAGCUGGAAUCGCUAGUAAUCGCGCAUCAGCCAUGGCGCGGUGAAUACGUUCCCGGGCCUUGUACACACCGCCCGUCAAGCCAUGGAAGUCUGGGGUACCUGAAGUCGGUGACC
This 1373-nucleotide ribosomal RNA is filed under the name Chryseobacterium daecheongense. RNAcentral describes it as "16S ribosomal RNA". It matches the Rfam family "Bacterial small subunit ribosomal RNA". Lineage: Bacteria; Pseudomonadati; Bacteroidota; Flavobacteriia; Flavobacteriales; Weeksellaceae. The record is from RNAcentral.